This 76-nucleotide transfer RNA is filed under the name Asticcacaulis sp. YBE204. RNAcentral describes it as "tRNA-Thr". It matches the Rfam family "tRNA". From Rfam's summary of the family: Transfer RNA (tRNA) molecules are approximately 80 nucleotides in length. Their secondary structure includes four short double-helical elements and three loops (D, anti-codon, and T loops). Further hydrogen bonds mediate the characteristic L-shaped molecular structure. tRNAs have two regions of fundamental functional importance: the anti-codon, which is responsible for specific mRNA codon recognition, and the 3' end, to which the tRNAs corresponding amino acid is attached (by aminoacyl-tRNA synthetases). tRNAs cope with the degeneracy of the genetic code in two manners: having more than one tRNA (with a specific anti-codon) for a particular amino acid; and 'wobble' base-pairing, i.e. permitting non-standard base-pairing at the 3rd anti-codon position. The record is from RNAcentral. Lineage: Bacteria; Pseudomonadati; Pseudomonadota; Alphaproteobacteria; Caulobacterales; Caulobacteraceae. RNAcentral also lists the same sequence under 4 other names.
GCCGGUUUAGCUCAGUUGGUAGAGCAGUUGUUUUGUAAACAUCAGGUCACGAGUUCGAAUCUUGUAACCGGCACCA